GAAGGACACUCAGCAUCUCGCAUGAUCAGUCCCUAAUUUGCUAAGUACUGCACUUGUCCCACAUAAUGGCAACAGUACACAUAGAACAGCUGCUGGAUUGUAGAACUGACUCUAAACUCUGUUCUUAAGGUUUGUUUUUUUUAAUAGAGAAGGGGAGGACGAGUGUAAAAAUAUUACUUUGUGAGUUGCUGGGCUACCACAUGGUCCUGACCCCAAGGCAGCAGUUACAGUACUGAUUUCUGCCCUGCAUUGUUAGCUGACCACAGUGAAGUUUGACAUAGUCAUUAUUCCACACCCUCACUGAUGGUUUGGCAGCUCUGUCAGUUUAUGAAUGUGAGGAUGGUGUCGUAUUGCAGUUCGGUGAACUGAAGGUGAAUGUACUCACCCACAGUGAUCCUAAUGGAUUCACACACAAAUGGACAAAAUCAGGUUAGGAAGAAAU
Long non-coding RNA from Mauremys mutica (yellowpond turtle), 442 nucleotides. RefSeq lists it as uncharacterized. Lineage: Eukaryota; Metazoa; Chordata; Testudines; Geoemydidae. The record is from RefSeq and is a predicted model, not a curated record. The transcript has 3 exons.